RNAcentral lists this non-coding RNA (31 nucleotides) under Mus musculus (house mouse). The record is from RNAcentral. Lineage: Eukaryota; Metazoa; Chordata; Mammalia; Rodentia; Muridae.
GCUGUGUAAGGGAACUUCAUAUGUUCCGUGU